GGCUUGAGCGCCGAGGAAGGCCGUGGCUAGCUGCGAAAUGCAAGGGGUAGCUGCAAGCACGCUUAGAUCCCUUGAUAGCCGAAUAGGAACUCCUAAUGCAGACCAAUAAGCUGCAUAACUCCGAAAGGAGAGGGAACGCACCGGACGGAAACAUCCAAGUAGGUGCAGGAAAAGAAAUCAACUGAGAUGCCUUGAUGUAACGGCGAGUGAAAGAGGCAAAGACCAAACUGAAUCCUGAUUAGCGAUAAUUAGGAGAUGUGGUGUUAUGGACUCUUAUUAAAUGCUGCAUUUAAUAGCUGAAUUUCCUGGAAAGUUAAGCGAUACAAGGUGAUAGCCCUGUAAGCGAAAUUAAGUCCAGCAGGAAAGAGUAUCCAGAAUAGCGGGGGUUGGAAAUCCCUCGUGAAUGGGGCACAACGAGCUCCAAGUCUAAAUACGACUCAAGACCGAUAGCGCAAUAGUAACGUGAGUGAAAGCUGAAAAGUAACCCGGAAGGGUAGUGAAAAGUGCCUGAAACCAGAUGGUUAUAGACGUUUGUAGCCCGAAAGCGUAGAGUCUGGACGAAGUGAGAGCUGGUGACGGCAGGAACGAGUUCAGAGGAGCGGGGUUACAAAAUCCGUCUAGAAACACGGGCCAGGGAGUUCAUGCUUGUGGCGAGCUUAAGGGUUUUUUAGACCCGGAGGCGAAGCGAAAGCGACAAGUUCGCAGUUUACAAGGAACGGCGUCUGAAAGGGCGUGGAGUCACAGGCAUGAGACCCGAAACCGGACGAUCUACCCCUGAGCAGGCUGAAGCCUAGGGAAACCUGGGUGGAGGGCCGAACAAGUAUUGACGUGCAAUUCAUGUUUGUUGACUUGGGGGUAGGGGCAAAAGACCAAUCUAGUCCGGUGAUAGCUGGUUCCUACCGAAGUGGACAUAGGCCAGCCUGAUUUGAGGUGGCAUGUUUGGUAGAGCAAGGAUUUAUGGUUUUGGGGAGUAAAAUCCUCACCCAUGAGUCAAACUACGAACAGACAUGUACCGUAGAAGAUCAGAGUCGGGCGUGCGUCCGUAAGGGACGUGGCCGAAAGGGGAAUAACCCAGACUAUGGUUAAGGACCCCAAAUCUCGGUUAAAUGCUAAAAGAGGAAGGACGUCCUUGCACUAAGACAGUAAGGCGGUAGGCUUAGAAACAGCCACCCGCUAAGCAACACGUAACAGUGGACUUACCGAGUGCUUGGGCUCCGAGAAUGGACGGGGCUAAACCGAGUUCCGAGACCAUAGGGCACAUUGA
RNAcentral lists this ribosomal RNA (1264 nucleotides) under Candidatus Thorarchaeota archaeon. RNAcentral describes it as "partial 23S ribosomal RNA". It matches the Rfam family "Archaeal large subunit ribosomal RNA", at positions 36 to 1300 of the family's 2987-position model. Lineage: Archaea; Promethearchaeati; Candidatus Thorarchaeota. The record is from RNAcentral.